ACGCGUAUGAAAGACAAGCUGAAAGACUUUUCUCAAUGACGUAAGUGGUGGUGCAUGGUCGUUCUUAGUUCGUGGAGUGGUUUGUCUGGUCUAUUCCGAUAACGAGCGAGACCCCGACGUUCCUAAUAGGGGCGGCAGCCCGGCUUGCACCUCGGUGCUUGCUAGCACGCCGCCUCGCAAUUGCUUCUUAGACGGAUCAGAGCCGAUAAGGUUCUUGAAAUGGGUUAAUAACAGGUCAGUCAUGCCCUUAGAUGUUCUGGGCCGCACGCGCGUUACAAUGGUAGGCUUAACGAGUGCCUUUUGCGGGCGUUUCCACGGCCGACGGGUCGUGGUAACCCCUAGUCUCUCCCUUGACUGGGCCAGACUAUUGCAAUUAUUGGUCUCAAACGAGGAAUUUUUAGUAGGCGCAGGUCAUUAACCUGUGCCGA
This 428-nucleotide ribosomal RNA is filed under the name uncultured myxomycete. Its description in RNAcentral is "SSU rRNA". It matches the Rfam family "Eukaryotic small subunit ribosomal RNA", at positions 1230 to 1644 of the family's 1831-position model. Lineage: Eukaryota; Evosea; Eumycetozoa. The record is from RNAcentral.